Molecule: small RNA, 24 nt
Filed under: Arabidopsis thaliana (thale cress)
Lineage: Eukaryota; Viridiplantae; Streptophyta; Magnoliopsida; Brassicales; Brassicaceae
Description: ATSL132920
Source: RNAcentral
GGUUUGGCGGCAUAUAGUUAACUG